Molecule: long non-coding RNA, 1831 nt
Organism: Oxyura jamaicensis (ruddy duck)
Lineage: Eukaryota; Metazoa; Chordata; Aves; Anseriformes; Anatidae
Exons: 2
Source: RefSeq, a predicted model, not a curated record
CCACACUGCAAGGAGUGAAAUGCUUUUAUUAGAAUAACUUAUUGGUUACCGGAUGUUUGCUUCAUGACAGCAAGCAGCUGAAUUCAGGGUAAAAAAAAAACCAACAACAUACCAAACCCACAAAACCACUGCCCACACAUCAAAUAUCAACAACAAUGGUUUUCAGAUAGAACAAGCAAAUUAGAAGGCAAUUCAUUUCAGCACUGAUUGUUUAAUGAUUAAUGAUGGAUGCUUUCCUACAUGCCUAAACCUUUUCUGGAACUGAAGGCAUUUUAAGUGGGGAAACUUAUCAUUUGAAUUCUGUUUUUAAACACUGAAGCCUACAGAGGAAUCAUUACUCCCCGACUGUUAGAAAAUGCUUAGUAAAGUAAGAUGCAUGACAGCAUCUAAUAAAAGCAUGAUUUUGAUCACAAUUUUGGAAAGACUGUAUUGUAUCAUGUAUCAUUAUUGUACCAUUAACUAGGCCAAAUGCAUGGCAGUUAUACUGUGUAUUUCAUACAGUUAUAAAUGUUUUACAAAAUGUUUUUAGAAACAUUUAGAAUUAUUUUUCCUAUUUUCUCUCUCUGGUCAUGAGUCCUGCUUGAGUGACCUUCAUGUGAAGCAGCAGUGAUAGUUCAUUCUUUUUAAAAUGUAUGAUGUUAGAUUAUAAUAUUUCAAACAUAAUCAAAACACUGAUUUUUAAAAAAAAAUGAGGUUUUAUGCUACCUGAAGAAAGAUGUGGUGGGAGAGAUUUUAUGUUUCUAAAUGUUAUUUCUUACAGUCAUGCCAACUCCUUUAAUUCACUUUUUAUGUUCUUAACUAUAAAUGAAAUUAAAUAGUUACAUUUUACGUCAGUAAAAUGCAGAGGACAAGACUUCUUGAAGUAACGGCAUAUACUCUAUGAAAAACUGAGGAGGUGCGUAUUUCUCCCAGUUCCCUUCUCUUUGUCCACUGUUUUCUGCAGUUUACCUCAUGCUCAUUUCUGGCCAAAGUAUGUGGCUCUUUUGUAGUUUUUUUAUUUCUCUCCACUGUAGAUUUACUUUCUUCAACUAAUGGGCUGCAAGUCUAUCUUCUAGGAAGCAAGUAUGAAGCACUUCUUGAACACCUAAACCUCGUCUGAUACAAGUUUGCUUCUGCAAAAUAGAUGGUUCUAACCAUGGUAGAUGCUGAGAAUAAAAGCUCCCUUGAGGAGAACAUUGCUAGUAAAAGUAUGGACAGAAGGAUAAUACAGCAUCCAACGCUGAUGACCUGUGCAUCUAUUCUGUGCAAUGAAGUUUAGUGCAAGUAAGUGCUUGCUGCAGCUGACACAUUCACACUUCUCACCAUGAUAAUGGUAGUAGCUGACUGUAGUUCAGGCUAUUGCACUAGACAGCUAGCAUCAGCUACCACAAGUAGCCUCAACACUGCAACGAUGCAACUGCAAGUGUUUCUGAGGUAGUGCUUCCUUUAGUAGCUUAUGCAUCACAGGAGUUUACUUCACUGAACAGUGCAAACAUGCUCAAUAUACUUAAACCCCUCAAAAUCUUAUUUUUAUCAUGUGUAGAACAUAGCAAUAUUCUUUUCCCUUCCCUCACCACUACUUCUUUGGAACGUAAUCUAAAACCUACUGAAGAUUAUUCAAUUAACAUUCUUUUGUGUACAGUCAACAUUUACUGUAACUAUAUACCCAGCCUCAUGGUAAACUCUUACUAUAACCACAAAGAUAUAAUCCUACCUUUUAGACUCUCUGUCAUAUUCUUCUCCAAUCCAUAUAAAUGACUGAGCAGCGAGUAGAGCUGAAAUAUCAAGUUCUUGAACAUCAUGUGUAGAUGCCAAAACAAUUUCAUUGCUGUUUGCCUAUGCAGAACAAAUA